GAGCGGAUGACUGGAGCUUGCUCCUUGAUUCAGCGGCGGACGGGUGAGUAAUGCCUAGGAAUCUGCCUGGUAUUGGGGGACAACGUUUCGAAAGGAACGCUAAUACCGCAUACGUCCUACGGGAGAAAGCAGGGGACCUUCGGGCCUUGCGCUAUCAGAUGAGCCUACGUCGGAUUAGCUAGUUGGUGGGGUAAUGGCUCACCAAGGCGACGAUCCGUAACUGGUCUGAGAGGAUGAUCAGUCACACUGGAACUGAGACACGGUCCAGACUCCUACGGGAGGCAGCAGUGGGGAAUAUUGGACAAUGGGCGAAAGCCUGAUCCAGCCAUGCCGCGUGUGUGAAGAAGGUCUUCGGAUUGUAAAGCACUUUAAGUUGGGAGGAAGGGCAGUAAGCUAAUACCUUGCUGUUUUGACGUUACCGACAGAAUAAGCACCGGCUAACUCUGUG
RNAcentral lists this ribosomal RNA (448 nucleotides) under uncultured bacterium. RNAcentral's name for it is "bacterial SSU rRNA". It matches the Rfam family "Bacterial small subunit ribosomal RNA", at positions 64 to 507 of the family's 1533-position model. The record is from RNAcentral.